Molecule: long non-coding RNA, 4846 nt
Filed under: Homo sapiens (human)
Lineage: Eukaryota; Metazoa; Chordata; Mammalia; Primates; Hominidae
Description: non-protein coding lnc-PFKFB3-12:2
Source: RNAcentral
ACUCACUGUGCAAAUGGAUUUGCCCGAAAUGCUGCUGAAGAAGACAGGUUGGCAUCGGGCUGGUGCUUUUCUGCUUCUACUUAAAUAGGAGAGGAUUUGGUCAAACUUGGUCCUUGGGACAAGGAGCUGUUUUGGACAAACGGUUUACGGAAGUGACUCAAGUCCAAAAUAGUGCGGCUGGGAACUAUUGGAAGAACACAGACGCUGCAAAGAAGCUGGAAACCAUCAUUCUCGGCAAACUAACACAAGAACAGAAAACCAAACACCGCAUGUUCUCACUCAUAAGUGGGAGUUGAACAAUGAGAACGCAUGGACGCAGGGAGGGGAACAUCACACACCGGGGCCUGUUGGGGGAUUGGGGACUAGGGGAGGGAUAGCAUUAGGAGAAAUACCUAAUGUUGAUGGGUGCAGGAGACCACCAUGGCACGUGCAUACCUAUGUAACAAAACUGCGUGUUCUGCACAUCUACCCCAGAACUUAAACUAUAAUUUUAAAAAACCCCAAAAGAGUGCAAUUUCAAUGCCAAAAAAAAAAAAAAAAAAAAAAGCUGAGCUUCAUCUAUUCCUUCCGCUCUUUCCUCCCUCACGCCUACCAUGUGUGAAGCACUGUACCCAACAUGAAGGACACAGACAGAAAAGCCUGACUCCGCAUCUCCCUGCUCGGGUUGCCUUGGCAACUUCUCCGUGUACCCAAAGAAGCAAAGGGGACUUAACAAUUUCAAAGAAGAGUGGCAGUAACUACUUUUUCUGUUCCGAGCUUUCUUGUAUAAAGUGAAGCACUGUGUGGCCUUUAAGAGUUCUAUUAAGGGCCGGGCAGGGUGGCUCAUGCCCGUAAAUCCCAGCACUUGAGGUCAAGAGUUCGAGACCAGCCUGGCUAACAUGGCAAAACCCCGUUUCUACUAAAAGUACAAAAAUUAGCCAAGUGUGGUCGUGGGCACCUGUAGUCCCAGCUACUUUGGAGGCUGAGACAGGAGAAUCACUUGAAUCCAGGAGGUGGAGGUUGCAGUGAGCUGAGAUUGUGUCACUGCACUCUAGCCUGGGCAACAGAAUGAGACUCUGUCUCAAAACCAAAUAGAAACAAAAAGAAUUCCAUGAAGGGAAUUAGGACCACUUUUUAAUUCAGUGUCUGCACACUAUCUCCUGACCACCUGGCUGCUGCUUUUCCUCCCUGCUUCCUGUCCUCCCUUCCUCUCUACCUUGCUCUACUCUCCUAUCCCUUCACUGGUGCUCCUUUUGUGUUUUAUCUCCUCUGCCAAUCAACAUGCAGGGCAAGGAAGCCAGGCAUAGCACCGGGCACUGGCCGGCCCUGCUGGUCGCUCUCAUGCCUGAAGCUCUGUGCUAAAACACCUAGUUUCCGGCAAUGUGCAGACGGUGGACACUCAGAGGUGGGGUGCGGCAGGAUUCAGACUUCUCAAGGACACCAUAGUGUGGCAAACACUAAGGAGUUCGCUGCCAGUGUCUUAGUCGGAGUAGGGCAAGGCUAUGGAGUAGGGUCCCUUCUAUUUGGAAAAGAGAAAAGUGCUUCUGAUGUUAUUUUUAUAUAAUGAUCCAGGCAGCUUGGUUUGACCAUCCAACACCUGCAGAGCCCAGCUCAGCAUUCAUGUCUUCAUUCCCCUCUGCUAUCUCUGGGGCAUAUCCAGUGUCCCUGAACCGUGAGUUCCCGGCUCACUCUCAGGUUUCUGCCGACUUUGGUGGGUCUAAGAUGAGACCUUUGGUAACCACAGAAACAAAGCUUCUCCCCAUGCUCAUGGCCUGAGGAAGCUUUGGAAAGGUGUUAUAUGGAUGUUUCAAAUGCUGUGUCAGACCAUUUUAAUCUACGCACCUCUUAUUAUUGUGUCUGAGCACAAUGUAUUGCAAUCCAGUGUUUAUCUCUCCUAUUGAAAUGGAGACAGCUAAAGGGUCUGCAUGAUGCUAACUGAAUUUUGUAUUCCCAGUGCCUAAGACAUAGUUGGUGCUCGAUAAUUGUUUGUUUCAGGGAUAAAUGAAUGAAAAAAAAAAUGAAUGAGUAAUCAUUAGCCUCAGCAAUACUUUGUUCCCAAAGUCACACACACACUCAUUUAUUUCCUCCUAAGAACAGAUGCUAGGCCAACAGGUCUUCAUGAUUUUACAAUCUCUAUGGUGACAGAUAAGACAUUAGGGUGCAUAUGAGGAAAAGAUAGGAGAUAGCAGGAUACGAAGGCCUAAAAAGGGGGAGAGGAAAUGGAGAAAAAGUGCCUACAGAUUCUAAUAACUGAGAGACAAUUUUUAGGAUUAUGGUCACAGUUUUAGUAGCAAGAAUAAAAAAAUGCAGAAUUCUACCCUUUCCUUGCCAAGAUUAGAUAAGGGCAAAAAUCCUUUAAUGGCAUUAAAGAGAAAGAGAAAAGAAAAAACUAGAGAGAGAGAGAGAGAGAAAGGGAGAGAAGGGGGGGGGAGAGAGAGAGAGAGAGAGAGAGAGAGAGAGAUUGCAUGGCCAGAGGUCUAACUCAAAUACUUGCAAUGUUCAGAUAAAAAACCCUCUUCCAUGCCAGACUCUGACAAUGGAUUCAUUCUUUCUUUCGUUCUUUCUUUUCUUUCUUUCCUUCUUUCUUUCUUUUUUCUCUUUCUUUCUCUCUUUCUUUCUCUUUCCUUUCUUCCUUCCUUUUUUCCUUUUUUCUUUCUUUCUCUCUUUCCUUUCUUUCUCUGUCUCUCCUUCCUCCCUCCUUCCUUCCUUCCCUUCCUUCCUUACUUCCAUCCUUUCUUCCUUCUUUCUCUUUCUUUCUUUCUUUUUUUCUCUCUCUCUUUCUCUCUUUCUUUCUCUCUUUCCUUUCUUCCUUCCUUUCUUUCCUUUUUUCUCUUUUUCUUUCUCUCUUUCCUUUCUUCCUUCCUUUCUUUCCUUUUUUCUUUCUUUCUCUCUCUCUCCUUCCUCCCUCCUUCCUUCCUCCCUUCCCUUCCUUCCUUCCAUCCUUUCUUCCUUCCUUCACUCCUUCCUUCCUUCUUUCUCUCUCUCUUUCAUUCUUUCUUUCCUUCUUUCUUUCUUUCUUUCCUUCUUUCUUUCUCUUCCUUCCUUUCUUUCCUUUUUUCUUUCUUUCUCUCUCUCUCUCCUUCCUCCCUCCUUCCUUCCUCCCUUCCCUUCCCUUCCUUCCUUCCUUCUAUCCUUCCUUCCUUCUCUCUCUCUCUCUUUCUUUCUUUCUUUCCUUCUGACAUGGGGUCUCACUCUGUUGUCUAGGCUGGAGUGCAGUGGCACAAUCUUAGCUCACUGCAAUCUCUGCCUCCCACAAGUGAUCUUCCAACCUCAGCCUCCCAGAUAGCUGGGUCCACAGGUGCACGCCACCACACCCUGCUAAUUUUUUGUAUUUUUGGUAGAGACAGGGUUUCACCAUGUUGGCCAGGCUGGUCUCAAACUCCUGAGCUAAAGCAAUCUGCCCAUCUCAGCCUCCCAGAGUGUUGGGAUUACAGGCGUGAGCCACCGCGCCCGGUCAGAUUCUGUUUUUCAUAGUGAGAGCUUCACAACAAACAGAUGUGUUUCCUUGGGAAGCAGUGUUCCUUCAGGCAGAUCUGUGCACUGGGCAGCUCUCCGUUUGCCGUCCUCUCAUCUUGACUUUCGUGAACUCUCUCCUUUUGCGUCCUGGACCCCACCCAGGGAACUGCUCACUGCCUUGCUGGCAGGUUUGCAAAUCACCCAUGACAAUAACUUACGUGUUUAUUACCCAGUGCUAUUGGCAUUUUCACUGGGGAACUCCAGCGCCCCGCAAGUCUUUCUGACCUCAAGAAUAAGGUUUUUAAUAGCCAAGUGUUAAGUGUGGUGGAAUGGGAAGGUGGAUAUUUUGGAAGAGGGAAUUUGCCUUGCGUCUUCCCAACUAUGCCCAAGAGCCCACUAGAUGGCUCAAGUUCUUUAUCCUGCUCUUUGCAAAUGGACUGUCGCAUGAUUCUAGGUCUAGAGGAAGCUGAUUGCUGCUACUGGAAGGGUCAGGCUUUGAAGGACAAGUGCGGGAGUGCUGGCUACUUUAUGGUACUCUAUGACUGGUGCACCCAUGUGCCCAUGGGGAGCAAUGACAGCUCCAAAAUCUCACAGGUUGGCACCUGUUACCAAUGUUGUCCCAUUUCCAUGCAGCUGGGAGACCCUCAGUGGGAAUGAUGAUUUCUUCUUGGUAUAACCUCAAGUCAGGCAUGUUGCUACCAAGAGCUCGCACAUUCAGAGGGCCCAUCCUGGAGGACAUUUGGGCCAUUUGUUUUGGGCCUUUGUUGCAACUAACACUUUUCAUAUUUUACCAACAUGGAGAAAGAGCAUUAUGAUAAUAAUGCCCUUUGGAAUUGAGAUUAGAUUAUAAGGAGUGAAAUCUAAAGCAUUGUGUGAAUUUAAAAUAUACAACAUUUUAGAAAAAUCCUUGGGUUAGAAUUAACUUAUGUUAGAAACUGGAGAUGCCUUAGAGUGCCUAUAUCAUCCUAAAAUUGUUCUUUUUAAAAUUCAGAACUGUGUUCCAGACAGUUUCUAACACCAAAUAAUCAAACUACUUUUUUUUUUUUUUCAUGACUAAAGUAGGAAAAAUUUGCACAAUGGGGCCCGUGUUCUUUUGAGCUCUAACCUGUGGUUCCAGAAUUCGGCUGUAAAAUAAUGUUUGCUGAAGUCGCUCCCCAGUGGCUAAAAUUGUGAUUGCAGAUUAUACCAAUGCAGAAUUUGUUGUAUGGUACUGAGUAAUUUUUAAUUACAAUUUUAAAUUACUUUCCCAGUUUAUUUUAAUGUUUCAAUAAAGUUUUUUUGAAAAAGGAAAAAGAGAGUCACUUUCUAGUCAAUGUGUUAUGUUUAACCAGAAGGCUAUUAUAAUUUUUAUAGACACAAAACAGUUCUGAAUAAUGCCAUGAAACGAAUAUGUCUUUGUGCAGAUCUUAUG